GACGAACGCUGGCGGCGUGCUUAACACAUGCAAGUCGAACGGAAAGGCCUCUUUCGGGGGGUACUCGAGUGGCGAACGGGUGAGUAACACGUGAGUAACCUGCCCUUGACUUUGGGAUAACUUCAGGAAACUGGGGCUAAUACCGGAUAGGAGCUCCUGCUGCAUGGUGGGGGUUGGAAAGUUUCGGCGGUUGGGGAUGGACUCGCGGCUUAUCAGCUUGUUGGUGGGGUAGUGGCUUACCAAGGCUUUGACGGGUAGCCGGCCUGAGAGGGUGACCGGCCACAUUGGGACUGAGAUACGGCCCAGACUCCUACGAGAGGCAGCAGUGGGGAAUAUUGCACAAUGGGUGGAAGCCUGAUGCAGCAACGCCGUGUGCGGGAUGACGGCCUUCGGGUUGUAAACCGCUUUCGCUCAUGACGAAGCUUUGUGUGACGGUAGUGGGUAAAGAAGCACCGGCUAACUACGUG
RNAcentral lists this ribosomal RNA (467 nucleotides) under uncultured bacterium. RNAcentral's name for it is "partial 16S ribosomal RNA". It matches the Rfam family "Bacterial small subunit ribosomal RNA", at positions 28 to 507 of the family's 1533-position model. The record is from RNAcentral.